RNAcentral lists this ribosomal RNA (441 nucleotides) under uncultured bacterium. RNAcentral describes it as "partial 16S ribosomal RNA". It matches the Rfam family "Bacterial small subunit ribosomal RNA", at positions 338 to 795 of the family's 1533-position model. The record is from RNAcentral.
CCUACGGGGGCAGGAGUGGGGAAGAAUGGGCAAGGGGCGGAAGCCCGACCCAGGAACGGCGGGUGAAGGAAGAAGGGUUUUGGGGUGUAAACUUCCUUUAAGAGGGAAGAGCAGAAGACGGUACCUCUUGAAUAAGCCACGGCUAACUACGUGCCAGCAGCCGCGGUAAUACGUAGGUGGCAAGCGUUGUCCGGAUUUACUGGGUGUAAAGGGCGUGCAGCCGGGAAGACAAGUCAGAUGUGAAAUCCCGCGGCUCAACCGCGGAACUGCAUUUGAAAAUGUUUUUCUUGAGUACCGGAGAGGUCAUCGGAAUUCCUUGUGUAGCGGUGAAAUGCGUAGAUAUAAGGAAGAACACCAGUGGCGAAGGCGGAUGACUGGACGGCAACUGACGGUGAGGCGCGAAAGCGUGGGGAGCAAACAGGAUUAGAUACCCGUGUAGUC